UUUCUUUUCCCCAGUGGCCCCCAACAGCAGUCAGAGUCCAGCGGUGUCUCUGAGAGUGAGCAGGCUGCAAAACUGUCACAUGAACCUAACCCGGCACACACCCCUCUGCAAAGCACUUUUGACAUGGGUGCCACCACGAAGUGUAACCUGCUUUUUCUCUCCUCCAUCAGGGCUUGGCAAUGUGACUUGCUUUGGCUAAUGGUGUUACAAUGUCUAUUUGACAUCAGUUUGUACACCCAGGAGUGUGGUCCCAGCUGUGUCCAAGCUGGGCUGGUUGUGUGGAGUGAAGGGCAAUGGUCCUGGCUCUGUUCUUCCCACUGCAACAAAGUUGUCUCCCGCAUACGUGUGAAUGGCCCCCUUCAUGACCAUCUAGUCCAGCUACCUGUUGACCCACAGCCCUGAGUGAUUACAGCUGCCGGCUAGCUCGGGCCCUAAGUCCCAGGGGAGGUGACAGAGCGCUGCAUCUCUGAGGAGAGAGCCCACAGAUUUCUCAGCUGCUUUGGCACCUGUAUGCUGAUCCCUGAGCCUCUGUACAUGGGUUGGUUAUUCCAGGUGAGAUACAAAGAUUCAGGAGAAUGUGUAACACAAAUAUUUGAAGUGAUGGCUGUGGCUCAUCUCCACUCAAGGAUGAAGCCGGGGAGCUUUCUGGACUGGCCGCUGGGAGGAAGCAUCUCAAUGUCCCUCUCACGCCUGCUCCACCAAUGUCUCUAUGACAGAUGUGUCCAAGCUCCUGGAGCAGUGCCUGGUGCAUGACAGCCUGGUGCACGGCAUGACAGCACGUAACGCCACGAAGAUGGAACACACGCUGGCGCCAGCACCUCAGCUCCCACACACAGGCCUCUCAAAACCAGACAAUCUUCCAGAGAAAAUGGGUGUGAGGCCACCUCCUGUUUCUGACUGCACCUGUGACAUUCCCUGUCACCUGGCAGCAACUCAUGACCGUCUCUCCCGACACCUCCCCCAGCCCUGGCAAACAAUUCAGCCAGUCACUCCAGCAGCUGAACCUCAGCCUUGAGGUUUGAUAACAGCGCCUGUGGAAUUACUCUAAUUUCUAGAACUGAUGAACUUUCACAGGCAACACGAGUUGAAAUAAUGAGCACAGAGAUGACAAAGAAUUUUCACCCAAGGUUCUUUGAAGUCUCCAGGAUAAUAAGCACUUGUUCCUUUCUACAAUGGGCAUAUAAAGAGAAAUCUAAAUAAUAAUUGCUGUAAUUAUCCUGAAAAUAUGCAGAGAUUAAUGGUGAUUAUGAAAAUCUGUCUAAUUGUUCUCUGAAGUCAUCGCUGAUCAAGUGGUAUCUUGAAACGGCCGCUGCCAAGGAACUUUUGACACUGAACUGCAGGUGGGCAAGGGGACGUGUCACCGUGCCUUUCUCCCCAUAAAAUCUUACCCUGUGUUUAUGAAAUCCGUUUUCUUCACUUCCAACCCCCUGGCCCACAUUUUAACUCUUCACACCGGUGCCCUGAAGAGGCUCCCGAGGCACCCUUAACGGGCUGCUUGAUGUCACUGUGGUUCAAAGCCCGAAGUUCAACUUGUUAUUUAUUCAAAUAAUUAAUUACUCUUGUAUCCAUCGAGCAGUUUGUCAUGACACAUUAAUGACUUGAUAGACUUCCAUGAACUGGUGAACACAGAACAGCAGAGCGUUUUUAUCGUCAUUUAAUUUUAAAACGAUCCUGUGUGAAAUUAUCUCGUUGUGAGUGAUGGGCACAUAAAGAACCGACUCAGCAAAGC
Long non-coding RNA from Mesocricetus auratus (golden hamster), 1729 nucleotides. RefSeq lists it as uncharacterized. The record is from RefSeq and is a predicted model, not a curated record. The transcript is spliced from 2 exons. Lineage: Eukaryota; Metazoa; Chordata; Mammalia; Rodentia; Cricetidae.